Molecule: ribosomal RNA, 253 nt
Filed under: uncultured bacterium
Lineage: Bacteria
Description: partial 16S ribosomal RNA
Rfam family: Bacterial small subunit ribosomal RNA
Source: RNAcentral
UACAGAGGGUGCGAGCGUUAAUCGGAAUUACUGGGCGUAAAGCGCGCGUAGGCGGCUUCGUCAGUCGGAUGUGAAAGCCCCGGGCUUAACCUGGGAACUGCAUUCGAUACUGCGAGGCUAGAGUAUGGUAGAGGAAAGCGGAAUUCCGGGUGUAGCGGUGAAAUGCGUAGAUAUCCGGAGGAACAUCAGUGGCGAAGGCGGCUUUCUGGACCAAUACUGACGCUGAGGUGCGAAAGCGUGGGGAGCAAACAGG